Long non-coding RNA from Malus domestica (apple), 296 nucleotides. RefSeq lists it as uncharacterized. NCBI's taxonomy places the organism in Eukaryota, Viridiplantae, Streptophyta, Magnoliopsida, Rosales, Rosaceae. The record is from RefSeq and is a predicted model, not a curated record.
UGGAGGAUGUAUAGAUCUCCAAAGAACUAAGAAUGGUGUAAAACAGGUUCCCAAUUCCAGUUACCAGGUUUCCAGAUCAUCUCCCCAGUUACAAUGUAAUAAGAAAAGUGCACCAGAGGCUAACGAUGGUUCUAGACACACUUCAAAAGCUAGUUCUCAGAUACAAUGUGAUAGAAGAAGUGCACACGAAGCUGACGAUGCUUCUAGACAAGCUUCCAAAGCUAGUUCCCAGAGAAGUAGUCCAAACAUAGAAAGAGACAACAUUAAGAGAAAAGAAGUUUCUAAAGCCACUUCUC